GGUGUGUGUGUGUGUGUGUGUGUGUGUGUGUGUGUGUGUGUGUGUGUGUGUGUGUGUGUGUGUGUGUAUUUCUGUGUGUGGGUGUGUAUGGGUUCGUGGGCAUGUGUGGUGUACAGUAUGUCUAUAUAGAUCCAUCUCCUUGCUUCUGGGCCCAGAAAGACCCAGACUGGUUCAGAGUGGUUGAGACUCAGGCAGAGAGUGACAGAGAAAUGGCUUCUGUGUACAAUGGAGAGCCUUCAAGGCCUAACAGAGGAUAGAGAGGACAGUCUGUGUGUGUGUGUGUGUGUGUGUGUGCGAAUGUGUGUGUGUGCGCGUGUGUGCGCGAAUGUGUGUGUGUGUGUGUGUAUAGAGAGGAUAGAGAGUACACUAGACAAAGUAGCUAGUCAGACAGGCAGUUUAACUGACAAAGACACAGCCACCAUAAUCGUCCCCAGUCCAGUCCACAGCCCAAAACAGAGGCCACAGUGUGUAUGUCUGCGUGUGUGUGUGUCCAUGCGCGAGCCUGUGUGUGUGGAUGUGGUCCAAACCAGAAAGCAUGUCAAACUUGACUACCAACAGACCAACUGAAUAACAUCAUAAAAAGCUGACCUGUCAGUCAGAAUAGCACAACAGGGCAUCUGUUGUUAAGGUUACUGAGAAUGAAAACAAACAACAUUCAAAUAAUUGCCAACUGAGUUGUUUGGACCCAAAAUGGCGGAAAUGAACUGUCCAUUUUGAAGGUGUAGGUAGGAAACUGUAAGUGGAAGGACACCUUUAAAAAACAUUAAACCACAAGCUGCCAAGUGUGAGGUAAAAGAAGAAAAAAAACAUUAAAAAAGGACCAAAAGAAAGGAAGUAGAAUAGCAGAGCAGAGACAAAGGAACACAACACCGCCCUCUCAGCCUUCUCUCAGCUCAAUGAACAACAAGAUGACUGAGUUUCACUUGAAAGUAAGUGCAUAAAAAAAUAGAAUACAAAAAUCACGUCUUGAGUUGCACACAGUGUGUCAAUAGAACAAUGUCCAUGUUUGUUAUGACCAAGUUUCUUCUCUUUCUCCCUGUUUCUCUCUCUCACUUAAAUCCCUGUUUCUCUCUCUCACUUAAAUCCCUGUUUCUCUCUCUCACUUAAAUCCCUGUUUCUCUCUCUCACUUAUAUCCCUGUUUCUCUCUCUCACUUAAAUCCCUGUUUCUCUCUCUCACUUAUAUCCCUGUUUCUCUCUCUCACUUAUAUCCCUGUUUCUCUCUCUCACUUAAAUCCCUGUUUCUCUCUCUCACUUAAAUCCCUGUUUCUUUCUCUCACUUAUAUCCCUGUUUCUCUCUCUCACUUAUAUCCCUGUUUCUCUCUCUC
Long non-coding RNA from Oncorhynchus tshawytscha (Chinook salmon), 1326 nucleotides. The record is from Ensembl. Lineage: Eukaryota; Metazoa; Chordata; Actinopteri; Salmoniformes; Salmonidae.